Molecule: ribosomal RNA, 392 nt
Filed under: uncultured bacterium
Lineage: Bacteria
Description: partial 16S ribosomal RNA
Rfam family: Bacterial small subunit ribosomal RNA
Source: RNAcentral
AUACGUAGGUGGCAAGCGUUAUCCGGAAUUAUUGGGCGUAAAGAGGGAGCAGGCGGCAGCAAGGGUCUGUGGUGAAAGCCUGAAGCUUAACUUCAGUAAGCCAUAGAAACCAGGCAGCUAGAGUGCAGGAGAGGAUCGUGGAAUUCCAUGUGUAGCGGUGAAAUGCGUAGAUAUAUGGAGGAACACCAGUGGCGAAGGCGACAAUCUGGCCUGCAACUGACGCUCAGUCCCGAAAGCGUGGGGAGCAAAUAGGAUUAGAUACCCUAGUAGUCCACGCCGUAAACGAUGAGUACUAAGUGUUGGAUGUCAAAGUUCAGUGCUGCAGUUAACGCAAUAAGUACUCCGCCUGAGUAGUACGUUCGCAAGAAUGAAACUCAAAUGAAUUGACGGGG